RNAcentral lists this transfer RNA (76 nucleotides) under Rubrobacteraceae bacterium. RNAcentral describes it as "tRNA-Arg". It matches the Rfam family "tRNA". Rfam says of the family: Transfer RNA (tRNA) molecules are approximately 80 nucleotides in length. Their secondary structure includes four short double-helical elements and three loops (D, anti-codon, and T loops). Lineage: Bacteria; Bacillati; Actinomycetota; Rubrobacteria; Rubrobacterales; Rubrobacteraceae. The record is from RNAcentral. RNAcentral also lists the same sequence under 1 other name.
GCGCCUGUAGCUCAGGGGAUAGAGCACCGGUUUCCUAAACCGGGUGUCGGAGGUUCAAAUCCUUCCAGGCGCACCA